This is a non-coding RNA of Musa acuminata subsp. malaccensis (wild Malaysian banana), 1591 nucleotides long. NCBI's taxonomy places the organism in Eukaryota, Viridiplantae, Streptophyta, Magnoliopsida, Zingiberales, Musaceae. The record is from RefSeq and is a predicted model, not a curated record.
UAUAUGAAAAAAAUAUGUAUGUUGAUUCAACAUCUGCCUAUCGGGUUGAGAUUAAUUGAGCCGAACCUAAACCUCACUCGUGGCCAAAAUCUUGAGCUGUGUCCGGUUUGACUCGGGUUAGACCGGGUUCUUGGCUAGGGUUGGAUCAGAUCAAGAUACCGCGGGGUCAAAAUUGAUCCAAAUAUUGUGGUCAAAUUUCAAAUUGGGUUCGAGUUAGGGCUUAAUCUGACCGCGUAGCCCAAGUUGUUGACCCAAGGCCGAAUCCUUCCAUGUUAUUGAACGGCUCGCAAGCCCCAAAAGCCUUGAAACGUCUUCAGCCUCGGACGACACUUCCCCAUCAGAGGAGAGGGACAAUAACGCUUAGGGAAGAAAGAGGCCGAAGGAGAGAGCAUGAAAGGAUCGAAAAUGUAAAGCUUUGGGGUUUAAUAAGAGGAGGGUGGAGGGCCGAGGGAGUAAACCCAAAGCCCUUGGACUCAAGACUCGGAAGCCGAAUCCCGUCAGCGCAAUUUGCUAGGUACAGGUAAGUAGUUUUGAUCUUCCGCCGGGAAAACGAUGCCCGGUUUAAGGUUGUAGAUUUGAUCUUGUUAAUGAGUUUUCAAGGAGAGUUUGAAAUGCAUCUGCCAUGAGUUUUCACAUUUUCUAGUUUACAACACUUGAUUAGCUUUUUUGUGUUCUCACGGAAUAUUUUUUGAUAGUGAAAGCAGAAAUCAAAUUUGAGUACAACCUGGGUUCAUCUUCCUCUGAUUUUAUGGUGUAUUGUAGUUAAGUUCUGCGGACUGUUUAUCUUCAGCAACAAUUAGAAAUUUCAUUUCUAGGGCAUCUGUUUGCCGAUUAGUGAAUUGUUCGAAAUCAUUUUGCACUAAAUAGUCCGCUUGGAAAUACUUGAUUGUCUAUUCAAGUACAUCACUUGCAGUGUGUGUAUGUGUAACUAGACCUUGACAUCCUGCAAGUUGACCAACAAUGUGCAUUGAAAUAUACAAAUUUAGAUACCCUCUUUAUUCUCUCAAGCAUCAUCUCCUCAUAUUUUUUUUUGUCUUUCCCUACUUUAGUCCAUAUAGUCAUCAUCUCCUCCCUCUCCAAGCAAUGUGGUUAGCAAAUAUAAAUUGCUAUAUGUAGCAUUUGGUUUUUUCGCUGCAAGUGCUCCAUGUAGGAUCAAGCAAACAUCCUAAUCAAGAAAGCAUACGAGUCUUCAGCCUUCACUAUUACAGACUACUGUGCACAAUGAAGACUUGUUCUUUUGACCAAAAAUAACAUAGUUUUGGAGCCACUACCGUACACAAUAAGAAGUUGCAUGCGUUCACUGUAUGUAAAUCUAAUACUUGUGUGCUGUUUUCCCAGCAGGAGGAGCUGUGCACAACCCAGUUUUAGAGAGUGAGACCUGUAACUAAUAACAGAAGACAUUUCCCAGAAUACGGAUAGACAGAUCAACACCACAACUAGAGGUGUGCUCAGAAAGAAGUACAAGUUGCAAGCUCUUUCCUGCUUCAAGAUUCAUUUCGUGAACAUCAAGUAAACAUGGUCCAGUGCUGGAAAGGCCCCUCUGCAAAGAUCCAUUUGUGCAGUCUACUGACCUUAGACACCCAGAGCUGAC